UUAUUAGAUAAAAAGCCAGUUCAUGCUUUUACAGUAUGAAAAUUGGUGAUUUAUAAUAACUUAGCAAAUCGCAAAGUGAAAACAGGCGAUAAAUCAUUCAAGUUUCUGACCUAUCAGCUUUCGACGGUAUGGUAUUGGCUUACCGUGGCAGUGACGGUUAACGGGGGAUUAGGGUUCGAUUCCGGAGAGGGAGCCUGAGAAACGGCUACCACAUCUAAGGAAGGCAGCAGGCGCGCAAAUUACCCAAUUCUAACAGUUUGAGAGAGGUAGUAACAAGAAAUAACAAUACAAGGCAGUUAAAAUGCUUUGUAAUUGGAAUGAUAGAAAUUUAAACCCUUUUUAAAGUAUCAAUUGGAGGGCAAGUCUGGUGCCAGCAGCCGCGGUAAUUCCAGCUCCAAUAGCGUAUAUUAAAAUUGUUGCAGUUAAAAAGCUCGUAGUUGAAGUUCUGCUGAAAGUAACCGGUCUGCUUUUAAUAAAAGUGGUAUCUUGGUAUGUAUUUAGCAAUGAUGUCCUUUGAAGUGUUUUUUACUUUAUUGUAAUAAAGCAUAUUCAGGACUUUUACUUUGAGAAAAUUAGAGUGUUUCUAGCAGGCUAACGCUUUGAAUACUGCAGCAUG
This 616-nucleotide ribosomal RNA is filed under the name Hepatozoon canis. Its description in RNAcentral is "bacterial SSU rRNA". It matches the Rfam family "Eukaryotic small subunit ribosomal RNA", at positions 203 to 811 of the family's 1831-position model. Lineage: Eukaryota; Apicomplexa; Hepatozoidae. The record is from RNAcentral.